Euryarchaeota archaeon TMED173 is the source of this 313-nucleotide non-coding RNA. The record is from Rfam. NCBI's taxonomy places the organism in Archaea, Methanobacteriati, Methanobacteriota.
CGACGGGCUAGGGGGGGAGUUGACGUGCUCUGUAUUUCACAAAUCGUCGAAAAUGGUGACCCGAAGUCCGAGGGCGGCGCAACCGAAUCUUUGAGAAUUCGUUGGUUGACUAAGAUGUCUCGCCCCCAAGAGAUCCAGGUUGGCUCUAGCCCAUUCCGGAGGGAAUUGGCGACCGUCUUAUGCCCGGGAACCAGGUCAGGCGCGGAAGCGAGCAACCCGACCGGGGAUGCUGGAUGCCUUGGGAUUGCGGGAUUGAGAAAACUAACGUUCUGUUCUUUCUGAUUACGAGCGUCCACCGAGGACAUGCCCAUCA